GGAAGGAGAGGACAUCACCAGGUGACGGGAAAGCCAAGAAACCACAAGCGUUGCCAGGCAGCCAGCACCAGAACACUUCCGGCCCUGGGAGGAAGCAAGACUUCUAACCUCCCAAACCAUGAGACAGUAGCCCUCCAAGGCAGAUGGGAAGGGAGUUGUGGCCUCCCAGUGUUUCCUGUUAUGGAAAAAUCGUACAGCCUGAUUUAGAGUCUGCCCUUGCUGUGAUUUCUCUCACUUGGAGACAUUAUCCUCAGAGGUUUAACCUUCCUGGCAUAUCUGUAGUCACCAACCAACAGCAAUGAAUCUUCUCAAUCUCUGUGGCUCAUAAAGCAGCAGCCCAUUAGUUAGAGGCUGCUGGAGUUCUGAUGGGGUGGAAACGAAGGCACCGAAGGUGUCUGCUGGGUCCACGUGGGAGCUGUGGUGCCAGCUUCUGGGAACCGGCUCUGGGCCCACGCUGGAGGCGAGUGUAGCUUCUGUAAUCCUGCACAGCCUCUGCAGAAAUGACUCCAGGGAGAGCUCAGGGCAGCCAGGAGACAGAACUGUGAGCUUGACUCAGGAAGAAAAUCACCUUGCAUUUCCGUUGAGAGUCUUUUUUUCUUCUUCUUUUUUUUCCUUUGGUUUUAAGGAGGUGAAUUGGCUUGAGUAUUGUGAGAACUAGAGGAUUCAGGAAAUGAGACGGCAGGUCAGCAGGCACAGCCAACCUUGCAGCUAAUCCCUCGCUGGGGAGAGAAUGCUAGCAAGUUCCCACACAGUGAACUAGAAUAACCCCCUGCCCCUUCCUCCUUCCUCUUUUUAAGCACUAAGAGGAGGUGAUAGCAUGAAAACAAUGGAGCCUUUCACUGCCAUCCAUUUUCAUAUUUUCAUCUUCACUAGUUUCAAACCACUCCUCAUACCGGGUCUGAACUGUGAGCCAGCUGGGAGGUCUGGAUCUCCCCGACAUGUUCCACCAGCUCUGGGCGAGCAGCUUCAUGGUGACCUGAGGAGGAGACCACCCACCCUGGGAGGGCGCUCAAACCGCAGCCUUAGACUACAGGGAUGUGGCGGUCACAGGGGUGGAGUCUCAGCACUGGAAGGGUGGCAAGAGUGUAACAAUGGCCGCCACCAAGAACUCAACCCUAGGGGAACCACCCCACUGCUCGGCUGGCAGGCGACGGGGUCGCCAACGGAAGCACAACUCCCGCAGCCCUGGAUGGAACGUGUGCAAGCCCUGCAGAGAGCAGAGGGGGAGGAGGAGGGCCAAGAAGGAUCCAUGACAAAUGUUCCUUGUGCCUCCCUCCGGAAAGGACCCACAGAGCAGAGUCAGGGACCGCUGGGCUGGGCUACUGAAGUUGGCAUGUCUUGGGGGACUUCUCCACUGUCCUGGCAUGUUGGACAAGCUACAAAGUUGACACCAGCAGCCUCUUCACAAGGCCCAUAGGGAUGAAAAGAUGUGCUGCUCCCAGUGCUGGAGUGGCUGGCAGCCCUGCUGCCCACGGCUGGGUUGGGGUCCAGGAUCCACCUGCUCUCUUCCUCUCGAGAACCCAGCAGGAGAACGUCUCACCCCUGGCUCAAGGGUUUUUUCUGUUACCCAGCACUCUCAGGCCAGAAAUCUCAAUGCAUUCCAACUCCUUCCAGUAUUGUAGGAGAGAUCAGUCUGCUCAUGGUCUGGGGAAUAGGGAGCUAAGGCUUAAAAUGUAGAGUUUCUAUAUGAAAUGAUGGAAAUUUUUGAUAAUGGAUGGUCAUGACAGUAGCACAACAUUGUGAAUGUAAUUAACAGCACUGAAAUGUA
Long non-coding RNA from Choloepus didactylus (southern two-toed sloth), 1768 nucleotides. RefSeq lists it as uncharacterized. Lineage: Eukaryota; Metazoa; Chordata; Mammalia; Pilosa; Megalonychidae. The record is from RefSeq and is a predicted model, not a curated record. The transcript has 3 exons.